GAUAGUGCUAAUAGUUGAAUUACAACAUUAAAUUGCAGAUUUGAAAGAGUACUAACGUACUAGCACUU
Molecule: transfer RNA, 68 nt
Filed under: Tubifex tubifex (sludge worm)
Lineage: Eukaryota; Metazoa; Annelida; Clitellata; Tubificida; Naididae
Description: tRNA-Cys
Source: RNAcentral